Molecule: non-coding RNA, 152 nt
Filed under: human gut metagenome
Source: RNAcentral
GUGACUUAGAAGUUCUUAAUGUUCUGUGAAUUCCCAGCAAUGUUUGAACAGGACGUUCAAACAAGCCACCAGUGAGCCACGGAUGGCGAAUUGGUGGCGGUUGCGUCCGGUACCAAUUCUAUAUAUCAGAACAUUUAGAACUUCUUAGUUAC